This is a long non-coding RNA of Vidua chalybeata, 505 nucleotides long. RefSeq lists it as uncharacterized. The record is from RefSeq and is a predicted model, not a curated record. The transcript has 4 exons. NCBI's taxonomy places the organism in Eukaryota, Metazoa, Chordata, Aves, Passeriformes, Viduidae.
UGCCAGUGUGGGGCCACCGCAGGCACGUGGUCCCCCUGGCCCUGCUCCUGAGUGGAAGGCAGAGCUGAGGGAGUGCUUUGGAGGGCACCAAUCACCCAGGGGCACUCACUGCCACUCUGGCCUGAAGGGGACAUGGAACAACUUUCUCUUAAGGUCCUUCUCCAUGGAAGAACUCAGACACUGGAGAAAAGAAAUCCCUGGAGGCAGCCAGACACCUGGACCAGAUGCUGAGUGAUCUGGAGAGACGCCGUGAGAUGAAGCGAAAGGCUGUGCUGAAGGCAGCAUUUCCUGGAGGAAGCAGUGGCCCAUUGGCAGCCCCUGCUGCAGGAAGUGAGGCGAUGCCAGGCACAGCCACAGGAGAUGAGCAUGCUAGCAAGGCUUCUCCAGCAGCUGGGAUGGAAGAUGGUUUGGAACCCUUGGGAGAUUCUGCAGGUGUGUCUGCAGGGAGGACUUUUCAGGCUCCUUUCCUGGUUGCUGCGCACAAGCCUGGCUCCCAUCACAGGGG